UACGUAGGGAGCAAGCGUUGUCCGGAAUCAUUGGGCGUAAAGCGCGCGUAGGUGGCUUCGUAAGUCCGUUGUGAAAGUCAAAGGCUCAACCUUUGAAAGCCGAUGGAUACUGCGGAGCUAGAGUACGGAAGAGGCGAGUGGAAUUCCUGGUGUAGCGGUGGAAUGCGCAGAUAUCAGGAGGAACACCGAUGGCGAAGGCAGAUCUCUGGGCCAUUACUGACGCUGAGGAGCGAAAGCAUGGGGAGCGAACAGG
RNAcentral lists this ribosomal RNA (253 nucleotides) under uncultured bacterium. RNAcentral's name for it is "partial 16S ribosomal RNA". It matches the Rfam family "Bacterial small subunit ribosomal RNA", at positions 524 to 776 of the family's 1533-position model. The record is from RNAcentral.